UGGGGAAUAUUGCACAAUGGGGGAAACCCUGAUGCAGCCAUGCCGCGUGUGUGAGAAGGCCUUCGGGUUGUAAAGCACUUUCAGUAGGGAGGAAAGGGUAAGUCUUAAUACCGCUUAUCUGUGACGUUACCUACAGAAGAAGGACCGGCUAACUCCGUGCCAGCAGCCGCGGUAAU
This 176-nucleotide ribosomal RNA is filed under the name uncultured Shewanella sp. RNAcentral's name for it is "partial 16S ribosomal RNA". It matches the Rfam family "Bacterial small subunit ribosomal RNA", at positions 355 to 524 of the family's 1533-position model. The record is from RNAcentral. Lineage: Bacteria; Pseudomonadati; Pseudomonadota; Gammaproteobacteria; Alteromonadales; Shewanellaceae.